GACGAACGCUGGCGGCGUGCCUAAUACAUGCAAGUUGAGCGAUGAAGAUUGGUGCUUGCCCCAAUUUGAAGAGCAGCGAACGGGUGAGUAACGCGUGGGGAAUCUGCCUUUGAGCGGGGGACAACAUUUGGAAACGAAUGCUAAUACCGCAUAACAACUUUAAACAUAAGUUUUAAGUUUGAAAGAUGCAAUUGCAUCACUCAAAGAUGAUCCCGCGUUGUAUUAGCUAGUUGGUGAGGUAAAGGCUCACCAAGGCGAUGAUACAUAGCCGACCUGAGAGGGUGAUCGGCCACAUUGGGACUGAGACAUGGCCCAAACUCCUACGGGAGGCAGCAGUAGGGAAUCUUCGGCAAUGGACGAAAGUCUGACCGAGCAACGCCGCGUGAGUGAAGAAGGUUUUCGGAUCGUAAAACUCGGUUGGUAGAGAAGAACGUUGGUGAGAGUGGAAAGCUCAUCAAGUGACGGUAACUACCCAGAAAGGGACGGCUAACUACGUG
RNAcentral lists this ribosomal RNA (497 nucleotides) under uncultured bacterium. RNAcentral's name for it is "partial 16S ribosomal RNA". It matches the Rfam family "Bacterial small subunit ribosomal RNA", at positions 28 to 507 of the family's 1533-position model. The record is from RNAcentral.